Molecule: ribosomal RNA, 460 nt
Filed under: uncultured bacterium
Lineage: Bacteria
Description: partial 16S ribosomal RNA
Rfam family: Bacterial small subunit ribosomal RNA
Source: RNAcentral
CCUACGGGUGGCAGCAGUGGGGAAUAUUGGUCAAUGGGCGAGAGCCUGAUGCAGCCAAGCCGCGUGAAGGAUGAAGGACCUCUGGUUUGUAAACCUCUUUUAUAUGGGAAUAAAGUGAGGAACGUGUUCCUUUUUGUAUGUACCAUAUGAGUAAGCAUCGGCUAAAUCAGGGCCAGCAGCCGCGGUAAUACGGAGGAUGCGAGCGUUAUCCGGAUUUAUUGGGUUUAAAGGGUGCGCAGGUGGUUAAUUACGUCAGCGGGGAAAGUUUGUGGCUCAACCAUAAAAUUGCAGUUGAAACUGGUUGGCUUGAGUGUAGUAGAGGGAGGCGGAAUUCGUGGUGUAGCGGUGAAAUGCAUAGAGAUCAGGAAGAACUCCGAUUGCGAAGGCAGCCUACUGGACUAUAACUGACGCUGAGGCACGAAAGCGUGGGGAGCAAACAGGAUUAGAUACCCCGGUAGUC